UCGAAUUUACGUGUCACGCAUCACGAGUACCCUCUAGCCGUUUGUUUCAAGUUAUUCAGUCUCCGUUUCAACUCGUACGAGCACGCGACUCUUCCAACUGUGCACGAUUCAAUCACCGGCGGAGAUAAUCGAGAUUCGAUGAAACAUGGAAAUUAUUAACACUUUAUACGCAGCCGAUAGAGAAUAUCCCGUGUUUACAUUCGCAACGCUUAACUGUGGCCAAGGGGAAUAUUCCGACAACUUCGUACAUUAUGUGAAGCUGUGACUAUUACAGUCGAGAUCUAUAAAGGAUAAGUUGCGACAAUUGUCAGAUCAGACAGUUAAAGUUCAGAGUUCAGAUUGAUCGACAGAGUUCUCUUUUAGAGAAAGAGAAUAAGAAUGUAUUUUUGUAUCAGUUAUUAAAUACAAUAAUUAUUAUUUCAUUCGACCUGAGAUUGAAUGAGAGUGAAAAUGAGGAAGCUAUGUAAAUCAAUUUCAUUUUGUAGCCGACAGGCAAAAAUUAAUGAAAAAGAUAUAUAUACAUUAUUUCAUUUGACAUUCUAAAAACCGAAACCCAACCCAAUUGUCUGCAACUCGACGUUCCUACGAAACGUUGUUAACAGAGGUAUUGUUGAAUAACAUAUGAUCGAUCGAAGUUGCCAAUUUUUAUCUACAUUGCAUUGAAAGAGAGAACUACGUGUCGGGAUCUAAUUCCGAAAGGAUAGUGAAUCGGUUUUCCCGAGUUAGAAACUUGUCCGACGUUCCAUGUUGCAUGGCGCCACACCUAACGGUGUUCUUUAUAAAACAUCGUGCUUGAACUUUCGAUUGUCAUUGAUCUUAAUCUCUCGUAUAUUGCAUUGUAUUAACACUUCAAUGUGGCGUUACCAUAAGAUCAUUAUCAGCUGAAAUCUUUGUACGAUCAGAUAUUAGUGCUACAUACUUGCAUAAUUGCUACGAAUAUUUAAAGAUCUAUUCUUCCUUUCUUUGAAAACAUUACUUUGUUCAAGAUACAUAUCAAAUAAUCUAUGGUAGGAAAUGAACAUUGGAAAGUAUUUAUUUGAAAAUACAUACGGAUAUCAUUAAUGAGCCUCCAUUAAAGAGUUUCAGAAACCGAGCACAUAAAAACGAGAAGCGCGUUCAACGAGCAUAUAAAUCGAGGCUGCGAUCGAAAAAUACACAAACCAAUUUAAAAAGAUCAACGUCGAAACGAUUCGAUGGUGUUGUUGUUUUUUUUACGGUUUUGUUUCCAACUGAAAAUACACAUCUCCUCGGGGCAAGGUGAAAAGGCAAAUUGAUUCGUUCGAUAGUACGUUACGAAUAUAUGUAUAUUCAAGCGAGUGGCGUACACGUUGUCGAUACACCUUCCUCCCAAUAAAAACAUUAACGGCGAAUUAACGAUCCAACAGGGGAAAAUACGUGCGAAUUUAACAAGCUGCACGGCCAAAUGGAUCGCAAAUACGUCGAAUGUCCUGUUUACCGAGCGUAUUUUUUAAGCUUUUCGCUCGAAAAUCGAACAUCCUUAUUGGAUUCUCCGCGGAUAAAUCGUUCAUUCUUUAAAAGGAAUCGAGCGAAACCUGAUUAAACCAUCUGAAUUUCCACAUCCUAUUGUCACACUGAAAUAAAUAUAUUGAAUAUUCAACAAACAGAAUGUAAAUGCGAUUGAAUCGCGUGGAUGUCUGAAACGAUGUUUUGCAGUAUAUGGCAUUGGAAAUGUUCCACGUGUUCAACGAAACUUAAAUCAGACGCAUAAAUAGAUUCUUACGUCAAGAGGGAAUAAUUUAUCAUAUAUGGAGCUUAACGGAUGCUCUUUUUAGGUUUCUGAAUUGAUAAAGUCUUUGGUCUUCGUGUUUUAAUUCAUGGAUGGAUAAUUACAAAAAGACUCCAAAUUAAAGAUAUCGUUAUAAUGAAGGAUUGGAACAAAAAGGAAUUUAAGAUCAAAAAUAAUUAAAGGAUCAAUAUAUCUUUCGUAAUGUUAAUUAACAACUGCUAUUAUUCUAUCAUAGAUGACUAUAUAACAACAAUUUGUGCUAGAUAUGGAUUAGGCUAAUUAUUGUAACUUAUAAUUCUAUGCAAUUUAUUAUAACAUUUAUUCUAAGCUUAUUUAUUAUAUUUUUUAACAGAUUUCAAUCUUCAGAAGUAAAUUUGAUACCAAAGAUGGAGCGGGUAGCAUCAGCCAUUAUCCCUUAAGAAAAGAACGAUUUCCUAGUACAUCGAAGGCUUUGGUAUCCUGAUUUUUCAAGCGGAUGAGAUUGGUCGAUCUCUUAUUUCCAAUUACUCCUGACAAUAAUUCGCUAACAGCUAGCAAACCGGUCUCUAUCGAUCGGACAGCGAUUCAACGCGUAAAACGCAACGAAACGCGCGUUUCAAUCGCCGCCACCGGGCCGAUUAGGACGCAAGCAUGAUUAGCGUCAUAAACUUUUCACAGGGCCGCGUUUAAUUCCAACGAGCGGAAACGGUUCACCGGAAUGGGAAUCGGAAUUGACGCGCCGAUAGAUUCGAUGCCGCGGUUUACGUGUAACCGAUUAAACUACGCCGAGCGCCGACUCAUCUGCUUCGAAAACCGGAUAUGUCUCUACGAAGAGAGAAUUCCGCUGUCGUUGCAGCCGGAAUUGAACCUGGAAUCCCCUCCUGGUGGACUGUUGCAGCUUUACACAUCCGCUAGUUUUUCCACAUUUUCAACUUUGCAGAUGAUCAAUUUUCAGUUGGACUUCAACUUCAGCCGUUUUCAUAAGUAUCAUGAUGAAAACGAUGUUAUUCAAAUAAAAAGAAGAAGAAAAGAACUCGAAACGUAUUUCAGCAUUUGAUUACUCUGUCUUAUGUAAAAGAAGUACAACAGAGUUCGAAUAGGCGCUUAAUCGACUAGACGAAUUUGUGACAUGAAGUAACUGCCACUGACACUAACUAAGUACCAAGAACGUAGGUUUUGGUUAUAUACCUACAUAAUAGAGCAUUUAACGAGGGCGCAGGUUGACCUCAGCUCUUAGUUACUAGAUGAGUAAGUCAAACUUCGCGCGAGAUUGAACUCAGAAAUAGAGAGUGCAGGUACUUACUGGACGAUGAAUAAUACCUUUGGAAAAUCACCACUGUGGUAUGGCUAAAGAAUUCCAAGACGAUUGCAGAUCCAUUGAUGCGACAACGCUCGAAUAUUUCCACGUGCACAACAGUUCAUUGAGCGAUGAACAAGCAGCCGUAAUGAAAGAUAAAAGGAACAAAGCUAGAUGCGACUGCGGCCUUGCAUUAACGAAUAUGUGUAGAACCGAUUGAAUUUAAUUACCAAGCGAGAAAACGCCAGCAUUGUGUGCAUGAAAUCAUUGAGACGAGCCUGUGCGCGAUUAACUAACGAAAAAUAUCCCUUUCUACGGUACAACGAAUUAUUCGAGAGAAAGUAAAGUGUUAGAAUGAUCUGUAUGAGCUUUAAAUUCAUCGUAUUUCUAUACGUAUACAUAAAUUCAUAAGUUAGUCGGUUAAAUAUAAUAUUACGUAUAAAAUGUAAGUGAAAUGAAAUAUGGGGAAUAUAA
This is a long non-coding RNA of Bombus pyrosoma, 3497 nucleotides long. RefSeq lists it as uncharacterized. The record is from RefSeq and is a predicted model, not a curated record. The transcript has 4 exons. NCBI's taxonomy places the organism in Eukaryota, Metazoa, Arthropoda, Insecta, Hymenoptera, Apidae.